RNA transcript from Cyprinodon tularosa, 2634 nucleotides. RefSeq lists it as uncharacterized. The record is from RefSeq and is a predicted model, not a curated record. Lineage: Eukaryota; Metazoa; Chordata; Actinopteri; Cyprinodontiformes; Cyprinodontidae. The transcript is spliced from 5 exons.
UCAAGGCAUUACUGCUCGGUCGUUUCCGGUCCGCGUAUUUACAUUGCGCUAGCUUGCAGAUUUGGCAAUAUUGUUUGAUGUCAUUAUGAAAAGGAAAGUGUUAAAAACUUGUCGUUUUCAAAAACAAGAAAAAAAGUAUUCAGAGCACUGCUGUGUUCCUCUCUGCACAGCAUCGUCAAAAUUUAACGGCGUGUUAAGUUUUCAUGGCUUUCCGACACAGACCCAUCAGAGAAAACAGUGGCUAGUUAGCAUUCGCCGGGAUAAUUUCGACAUCACCUCUCACUCAAAGGUCUGUAGCAGACACUUUACCAACGAUCAGCUCAUCGAACCAGCAACACUUGACGGUCGAAGACGGCUCGUUAAAGGUGCUGUACCGGCACUUUUUGAGUGGAAUGGCUAUUGUGUUGAACCAGCACGGCGCAGUGUGUGGGAGAGAGUGGAGCGGCCUGAGGCAGCUCCUCCCGAGAAGGAUGAAGAGCACCUCGAUGUCACAGAUGACCAUGACUAUUGCUCAGUCCCUGAACCAGCUGCAAUGGACAUGUCCGCAUCAGCUGCUGAAGAUGUGUCCACAGAAGUUGAAGAGCUGAGAAUGGAGAUACAGGAGCUACGUCUUCAGCGAGAGUUUGGAUUACAGCGGUUUGCUGGCUCGGACGCAGACAUCCGAUUCUAUACGAGAUUUUCAAGCUAUGAGCACCUGAUGUCGUUUUGGUCUCUGAUUCAGCCUUGCCUUCAUAAAAUGGUCUGGGUCACAAGAGCCAAAUCAGCUGCCAAAAGAAAUGAGGAAGUCAUCACUCCUGCACGUUCAUCAACGCGACAGGUGCUCCAGCCCAUUGAUGAGUUCUUUCUUUUCCUCUGUUAUUUGUCUGCUGGCUUGAGGGAGAGGGACCUGGGAAAUCAUUUCAACGUACACCAGUCCACAGCGAGCCGCAUCAUUGCAACAUGGACAAGUUUUCUAGCCACUGCAAUGGGGUCUGUUUGCAUUUGGCUUACACCUGCAGAAGUGCAAGCCAACCUCCCUGAGGAAUUUCAAGAUUUUCCAGACACCCAGGAUCAGGAGAGGCCGAUUGUUUGUAUCCUCUCAGCCCUCUUCCUGAAGACAGCAGUGUGAACAGAGAUCCUCACCCUGAUGCCAAAGGCUGGAGACUCAAGCAUCCUUUUGCUUUGAAUGCAGGAGGAUCAGCCUUCCAGGAGCUGCAGCCGUCAGCUUUGCAGAGACUGUCUGAGGAGUAGAACACUGACUAUUCUCCGUCCGUUUUCUCUACCUGACCACCGUCUCCUUUCAGACACUGAGUUCCUUUCUAUCUGUCAGAAUGAACAGCAGGCUGCAGCCAGCGCUGGUUGCUACUUUAUUGCAUUUUUGUAAACAAAUCUGCACUUUCCAACCCCUUAUUAAGUUAAUCUGCUUAAAACCUUCCUUUAUUUUGGAAAAAAAAACUAGUUUUAUUCCUGCCUUUACUAAGAUCCUAUUUAGGUAGCAUCUAUAGAUAAUCACAGAAUAAAAGUUAAUAAUUUACUGAUCAGAUCUAUAUUAUAAUAUUUCAUCCAUCAUGAUGAAAAGUGUUGCAGAUUUUCCUUUUUUUAUGGUUUUCCACUGUUAUUUAAAAAAAAAUCUUAUUUUACUUGUAAGAAAUGUUUCUCAGAUGUUAGUCAUAAACAUUUGUAGUUUUAUUCCUGCUACUUUCGUUUGUCUAUCUUUUUUAUUAUGCAGAAAUUCCACAUGAUGAGUGCAAAAUGAUUCCAACCAAUGUCUAAGUUUUCCUAAACUUCCAUGCUGUCAGCGAUCGUACCUUCCUUUCUGGGAAUAUCUGACCUGCGUAAUCAUGAGAAUAUAAUGAUUUGAAGGAAAAUAGCUUUUUUUUUUACAGUGAAACCAUCACUACUCUUUAAUGCAAACAGAAUGAAUUACAGCGAUGAUUUUGUAAAAGAUUGUAAAAAUAUAAAAUAUAUAUAAACAUUUAGCAUUUAAGAUAAAAAACAAACUUAAUCUAUCAAUAUUAUCUAUCCAGAUCUCCUCCAGUGGAAAACCUUCAGAUUCACCUGGUUUAAUUUCAUCUUUAAGGAACUUUAGCUUUCUGAUCAUUAAUGGAAAAGAUGAAUCAACAGAUUAAACGAUUGGAGAAAUAAUCAAAUCAGCAACAGAGAGCAACUGGUCCAAGUCUGAGCUGCUGAAUCGGGUCAGACUGGCAGCCAGGAGCCGCAGACUCUGCAGAGCUUCAUUAUUCACUAUCCAGCUUCUAACUAAGUUGUCCUUAAUGUUGUCCACAGUAGCUCAGAGGCUAUUCUUCCUUAUUCAGACUAAUCCAUUGACUCAUUACUGCCCUACAUCUUUUUUAUAGAAAUUAUUUUUCCUUUUUUAUGGGCUUGUUUGUAAAAGCCUGCCCACAGUCACUGCAGUGUUUGUUAAUUAAAUGUCCCACUGUAGGGUGAAACAUUUCCAGCAGUAGAUGAGGAAGACCAGUGCUCCCAUCAGCCUUCCUGCUCAGGCCAAACUGGGCCAGACAGACAGAGCCUCCCUUGUUUCCUCAGAGUCAGAUUCAUCUAGGCUAAUUUCCCCCUCAGAGGAGCACAUGCUGCUCUUGUGAUUCCAGCCUUUAAUGUUUCUCCGUCAGCAGCAGGAGUUCAGACUGAGGAGCU